UACGAAGGGGGCUAGCGUUACUCGGAUUGACUGGGCGUAAAGGGCGCGUAGGCGGCUUGUACAGUCAGGCGUGAAAUUCCUGGGCUCAACCUGGGGGCUGCGUUUGAUACGUGCGGGCUUGAGUUCGGAAGAGGGUCGUGGAAUUCCCAGUGUAGAGGUGAAAUUCGUAGAUAUCGUAAGGAAGACCAGUGGCGAAGGCGGGUCUCUGGACAGUUCCUGACACUGAGACACGAAGGCCAGGGGAGCAAACGGG
This 253-nucleotide ribosomal RNA is filed under the name uncultured bacterium. RNAcentral describes it as "partial 16S ribosomal RNA". It matches the Rfam family "Bacterial small subunit ribosomal RNA", at positions 524 to 776 of the family's 1533-position model. The record is from RNAcentral.